Molecule: ribosomal RNA, 862 nt
Filed under: uncultured crenarchaeote
Lineage: Archaea; Thermoproteati; Thermoproteota
Description: bacterial SSU rRNA
Rfam family: Archaeal small subunit ribosomal RNA
Source: RNAcentral
UCCGGUUGAUCCCGCCGGACCCGACUGCCAUCAGAAUAGGACUAAGCCAUGCGAGUCAACGUAGCAAUACGUGGCAUACGGCUCAGUAACACGUAGUCAACAUGCCCAGGGGACGUGGAUAACCUCGGGAAACUGAGGAUAAACCACGAUAGGUCAUAAUAUCUGGAAUGAUUUAAGGCUAAAAUCUACAUGGCCCCUGGAUUGGACUGCGGCCGAUCAGGCUGUUGGUGAGGUAAUGGCCCACCAAACCUAAAACCGGUACGGGCUCUGAGAGGAGAAGCCCGGAGAUGGGCACUGAGACAAGGGCCCAGGCCCUAUGGGGCGCAGCAGGCGCGAAAACUCUGCAAUAGGCGAAAGCUUGACAGGGUUAUUCUGAGUGAUUUCCGCUAAGGAAAUCUUUUGGCACCUCUAAAAAUGGUGCAGAAUAAGGGGUGGGCAAGCCUGGUGUCAGCCGCCGCGGUAAUACCAGCACCCCGAGUGGUCGGGACGAUUAUUGGGCCUAAAGCAUCCGUAGCCGGUUCUACAAGUCUUCCGUUAGAUCCAUCUGCUUAACAGAUGGGCUGCGGAGGAUACUAUGGAGCUAGGAGGCGGGAGAGGCAAGCGGUACUUAGUGGGUAGGGGUAAAAUCCGUUGAUCCACUGAAGACCACCAGUGGCGAAGGCGGCUUGCCAGAACGCGCUCGACGGUGAGGGAUGAAAGCUGGGGGAGCAAACCGGAUUAGAUACCCGGGUAGUCCCAGCUGUAAACGAUGCAGACUCGGUGAUGAAUAGGCUUCGUGCCUUUUCAGUGCCGCAGGGAAGCCGUUAAGUCUGCCGCCUGGGGAGUACGGUCGCAAGACUGAAACUUAAAGGAAUUGGCGGGG